RNAcentral lists this small RNA (567 nucleotides) under Pongo abelii (Sumatran orangutan). Its description in RNAcentral is "processed transcript". The record is from RNAcentral. Lineage: Eukaryota; Metazoa; Chordata; Mammalia; Primates; Hominidae.
AUAUCCAUCCAUCUUUACAGCUCUGCAUGCCAUUUGUGAAAAACAAAAGCUACCCAACAACCUGGGAUUAUAAACCAGGCCAAAGUGGUGAGCACCCGGCAGCCAUGGUGUGGCUUCCCACCGGCUCCUCACGCAGCUCCAAGCCAGGCUGUGUUGGGAUGGAAGCUUUGGUCCUGCUCUUAUAAGCCUCCCUGUUCUUAGAGUGACCCCACCCUUCUGUGCCUCGGCAUUGCAGGCCUGGCGCUGGUGCCGAGGAAGCUCUGUGCCCACUACACCUGGGACGUCAGUGUGCUGCUCCAGGCAUGGCCUGCCGUGGACCCGGAGUUCCUGCAGGAGCCUGAGGUCGUCCAGAUGGCAGUUCUGAUCAACAAUAAAGCUUGUGGCAAAAUUCCUGUGCCCCAACAAGUUGCCCGGGACCAGGACAAAGUCCACGAAUUUGUUCUUCAAAGCGAGCUGGGUGUCAGGCUUUUGCAAGGGCGAAGCAUCAAGAAGUCCUUCCUUUCCCCGAGAACUGCCCUCAUCAACUUCCUGGUGCAAGAUUGACAGCCAGGAGGCUGCAGCUACCAC